Molecule: ribosomal RNA, 447 nt
Filed under: Kocuria sp. m6-29
Lineage: Bacteria; Bacillati; Actinomycetota; Actinomycetes; Micrococcales; Micrococcaceae
Description: bacterial SSU rRNA
Rfam family: Bacterial small subunit ribosomal RNA
Source: RNAcentral
GGGGUCGGUGGACAGGUGGUGCAUGGUUGUCGUCAGCUCGUGUCGUGAGAUGUUGGGUUAAGUCCCGCAACGAGCGCAACCCUCGUUCUAUGUUGCCAGCACGUGAUGGUGGGGACUCAUAGGAGACUGCCGGGGUCAACUCGGAGGAAGGUGGGGAUGACGUCAAAUCAUCAUGCCCCUUAUGUCUUGGGCUUCACGCAUGCUACAAUGGCCGGUACAAAGGGUUGCGAUACUGUGAGGUGGAGCUAAUCCCAAAAAGCCGGUCUCAGUUCGGAUUGAGGUCUGCAACUCGACCUCAUGAAGUCGGAGUCGCUAGUAAUCGCAGAUCAGCAACGCUGCGGUGAAUACGUUCCCGGGCCUUGUACACACCGCCCGUCAAGUCACGAAAGUUGGUAACACCCGAAGCCGGUGGCCUAACCCCUUGAGGGAGGGAGCCGUCGAAGGUGG